Molecule: ribosomal RNA, 433 nt
Filed under: uncultured bacterium
Lineage: Bacteria
Description: partial 16S ribosomal RNA
Rfam family: Bacterial small subunit ribosomal RNA
Source: RNAcentral
AACGAACGCUGGCGGCAGGCCUAACACAUGCAAGUCGAGCGAGGACUUCGGUCCUAGCGGCGGACGGGUGAGUAACACGUGGGAACGUGCCCUUUGCUUCGGAAUAGCCCUGGGAAACUGGGAGUAAUACCGGAUGAGCCCUUUGGGGGAAAGAUUUAUCGGCGAAGGAUCGGCCCGCGUUGGAUUAGGUAGUUGGUGGGGUAAUGGCCUACCAAGCCGACGAUCCAUAGCUGGUUUGAGAGGAUGAUCAGCCACACUGGGACUGAGACACGGCCCAGACUCCUACGGGAGGCAGCAGUGGGGAAUCUUAGACAAUGGGGGAAACCCUGAUCGAGCCAUGCCGCGUGAGCGAUGAAGGCCUUAGGGUUGUAAAGCUCUUUCAGCUGGGAAGAUAAUGACGGUACCAGCAGAAGAAGCCCCGGCUAACUCCGUG